Transfer RNA from Vittaforma corneae ATCC 50505, 71 nucleotides. It matches the Rfam family "tRNA". From Rfam's summary of the family: Transfer RNA (tRNA) molecules are approximately 80 nucleotides in length. Their secondary structure includes four short double-helical elements and three loops (D, anti-codon, and T loops). The record is from Rfam. Lineage: Eukaryota; Fungi; Microsporidia; Nosematidae.
GCGAGCAUAGCUUAGGGGUAGAGCAUCACGUUGUGGCCGUGAAGACACGGGUUCGAUUCCCGUUGUUCGCA